GCGGGGGCGGGGGCGCCCUCGGGGAGAGCGCGGGCCUGGUGCUUCGGCGGCCCCGGGCUUGCGGCGGGGUCGCCGGGGGGACGCCCCUCAGGCCUGCUCUUAGGAGCCGAAGUCCGGCCGGGGCGCCGUACGCGGGCAGGGCCCGGAGCUGGGCCUUCGGCUUCGUGAAAGCCCCAGCCCCACCCAAGUGGAGAAAUGCACACCAGGAGGACAGGGACCAGGCUGUGUGCCCAGGGUCCAGCAACCCAGCAAUCCCAGCGCAUCUAUCUGCCCACUUACUGUUUCAGAGCAGGAGAAAAGGAAUGUCUCCUGGAAAUGACUUUUUGAGAUGAAAUUGUUUGACCACCUCUGGAAGCAGUAUCAGGAGCAACAGAAAUCCACAUUUGUUCAGUGGGUUAGAGGACAUGGAGUGGAAGACUUUGAGGAGGAGAUUCUGUGCUAGACUGGUCUUGCUUAGAAGACAUUUCCAGAUUAGAUCCAUUGUUUUGUAUGUGCAUUUUAUUUCUCACUGCUGUAUAUAUAGUUGACAAUAAGUACUUUUUAGAAAUAUCUAGGCUUUGUACAGAGUUCGCGUCGUGGCUCAGUGGUUAACGAAUAUGAUUAGAAACCCUGAGUUUGCGGGUUCGAUCCCUGGCCUUGCUCAGUGGGUUACAGAUCCAGCGUUGCCGUGAGCUGUGGUGUAGAUUGAAGACGCGGCUCGGAUCCCACGUUGCUGUGACUCUAGUGUGGGUUGGCGGCUAUAGCUCCGAUUCGACCCCUAGCCUGGGAACCUCCAUAUGCUUCCGGGGGAUCAGCCCUAGAAAAGGCAAAAAGACCAAAAAAAAAAAACAAAACUAGGCUUUGUAGAUAUUCUGAAGCGCCUGAUAUAUGUUAAAAGUAGAGGUAGUAAAAAGACAUUUUAUAAAUAUCUUUUUGUUAAAAUGCAUAUGAAAUAUUGUUUAUUUGGGGGGAGGGAGGGAUGGCCAAACCACCUCUUUGAACAGGGCAUUGUGUUUUGUGCACUGGUUCAAGGUCAGGGGAGGAGAAGGAAGUGCAAAGAGCUCUAUGCCAGUGUUUACAGUGAGGCAAGAUUAACCAUUGUCCUUUUUAUGUGCAUUUUGUUUCACUUUGCUGUGUAGGUAGUGUAUAUAAAUGGACAAAUGAGUCCUCAUUUAUAACAUCUGGCUUUUCUAGAUGUUAAAGAGGUUUUGCCAGUGUAUGACAGAAAUAGAGUUAGUAAAUGAAUACAUUUUGUGUUAAAAUUUCUGGGAAAGAUUGUCUCCUGAAAAUUGGAGCAUUAUAGCCCUCUGGGUUGCUGGAGGGGAAGGAAGAGGGAAAGGGAUGGGUGGUCUUAGGCUGGAAUGCUCAUAUUUCAAAGACACUUUCAGAUUAUAACUGUUACAUGUUGCAGUUUAUUCAAGACUUCUCUGUAUACAGUGGACAAAUUAAGUCCUUAUUUGAAACAUCUAGUCCCCCAGAUGUUUAGAGGUGCCCUACGUAUGUUAAAAUGUAGAGGUGGUAAAAUAGCACUUUGUAAAUAUCUUUUUGCUGAAAUUCAUAGGAAAUACCGUCUUUUGGAAAUACUCACUACUACCUCUCUGAGUAGUAAUUUUGAGGAGGUGGGAGGGAAAGAAUUGCAAAAGUAAUAUGCUAGUGUGUUUGUACCUGUACAUUUUCAGACAAAACUAUUUUUUGUAUGUUAGGUGCAUUUUGCUUUGCUGUGUAUAUAGUGUAUAUAAUGGACAAAUGAGUCCUAAUUUUGCAACAUCUAGUCUCUAGAUGUUAAAGAGGUUGCUGGUGUAAAACAAAGGAGUAAAUUCACACAUUUUGUACAUUUUGUGUUAAAAUGCAUUGGAAAGUUUGUCUUCUGUAAAUGAUUUUUGGAUAUGAAUUUGUUCAAUCACCCUCAAGCAUUGCGCAUGCCUGUAUUUGUGCACUGAAUUGAUGGUGGAGAGAAGGAAGUGAGGGAGGGAAUGCUUCAGGCCAAAAUGGUCAUAUUUAGAAGAUACCUCAGAUUAUAACCAUUGUUACAUGUGUGCAAUUUUAUUGAACAGUGCUGUGUACAUAGUGGACAAGUAAGUUCUUAUAUGAAAUAUCUAGUCUUUCUGGGUAUUUAGAAGUGCUUGAUGUAUUUAAAAGUAGUAGUAGUAAAAUAAUGCUUCUUGUAAAUAGCUUUUUAAAACGUGGGAAAUACUGUCUUGGGAAAUGGAAUUGUUAAACCUCCUUUCUGACCCUAUACUCUACUUGUUCCUUGGGCUGAAGGAAGUGGGAGGGAAGAUUGCAAAAGAUGUUUUGCUAGUGUGUACUAAAAAAUUUCAACUUAUCAGUUGUUCUGUGUUACAUGCAUUUUGUAUAUGCUGGACAAAUGGGCCCAAUUUUAUAAUACAUAGUCUCUAGAUGUUAAAAAGAGGUUGCUAAUAUAUGACUAAAGUAGAGUUAGUAAACUAACAUGUUUUGUACGCUUGCGUAAAAUUUCAUUGAAAGGCUGUUUUCUGAAAAGGACCUUUGAAAAUGAAAUUGUAAAUCACAUCUAAGUGACACAUGUGCCUGCACCCACCGUUGGAUGGACUGUGGGAAGGAGGAGUUAGGAGAAAUGAAGGGUUCUAAACUCGAGUGUUCCUGUGUAGAAGACACUUUCAGAUAUAACCAUUGCUAACAUGUGGUUUAUUCAACACUACUGUGUAUAUAUAGUGGACAAACUUAAGUCCUUAUUUGAAACAUCUUGUCUUUCUAGAUGUUUAGAAGUACACAAAGCAUGUUAAAAGUAGAGGUAGUAAAAUAACAUUUUGUAGAUAGCCUUUUGUUAACAUUCAUGAAGUACUGCCCUUCAGAAAUGGAAUAAUCAAACCACCUCUCUGAGCAGUGCACAUUUGUGCUGGUUCAAGGAGGAAGAAGAGAGUACAAGGGCUUUAUUCCAAUAAAUAUGUUUAUAGUUAGGCAAGUUUAACCAUUGCCCUGUAUGUCUGUGCAUUCUGUUUUACUUAGGUAUAUAUAUAGUGUACAUAAAGGAUAAACGCCCAAAUUUACAUCUCAUCUUCCUAGAUGUUAAAGAGGUUGCCAAUGUAUGACAAAAGUAGUGAGAAAAUAAAUACAUUGUGUAUACUUUGUGUUAAAAUUCUUAAGAUUGUUUUGAAAACGACUGGAGGAGGUGAAAUUGUUAAAGUCCCUUCUAAGUGCUUAUUACACCUGUCCACUAGGUUGACAGAGAUAAGAAGGGGAAGGGUUCUAGGCCAAUGUUCCUGUUUAGAAGACACUUUGAGAUUAUGGCCUUUGUGUGCAAUUUGUUCAAUACCACAUGUAUGUAAACUUAAAUCCUUAUUUGAAACAUCUAGUCUUUCUGGAUGUUUAAAAGUGUACAACAUAUGUUAAAAGUAGAUAAAGUAACACCUUUUAAGUAUUUUUUCUGUGAAUUCAUAGGAAUGGUCACAUGUGAGGAAUGGGAUUGUUAAACUUGAGCCUUGGAGACUAUGCUGACUGAUCACUGGGGUGGUGGGGGUUGGAGGGACAGGGAAGGAAGUGCAGAGAAGGGUUCAGUGCUCUAAAGACAGGUUCAGACUGUCUAGCCAUUGUUCUGUUUGUGCAUUUUAGUUAAUAUUGCUGUGUAUUAAGGAAUAAACAAGUCCUACUGUUCAAAGUAAAAAAAAAAAAUAAAGAAAUGUAGAGCCA
RNAcentral lists this long non-coding RNA (3645 nucleotides) under Sus scrofa (pig). RNAcentral describes it as "lncRNA (ENSSSCG00015074147.1)". The record is from RNAcentral. Lineage: Eukaryota; Metazoa; Chordata; Mammalia; Artiodactyla; Suidae.